AAAAAAAACCCCGCCAUCAUGGCGGGGGAAGACAGGGAUGGUGUCUAUGGCAAGGAAAAACAGGGACUACUCAGUCA
This 77-nucleotide non-coding RNA is filed under the name Serratia quinivorans. RNAcentral's name for it is "Hfq-regulated sRNA 1". It matches the Rfam family "Hfq-regulated sRNA 1". The record is from RNAcentral. Lineage: Bacteria; Pseudomonadati; Pseudomonadota; Gammaproteobacteria; Enterobacterales; Yersiniaceae.